This 70-nucleotide transfer RNA is filed under the name Camelus bactrianus (Bactrian camel). It matches the Rfam family "tRNA". Rfam says of the family: Transfer RNA (tRNA) molecules are approximately 80 nucleotides in length. Their secondary structure includes four short double-helical elements and three loops (D, anti-codon, and T loops). Further hydrogen bonds mediate the characteristic L-shaped molecular structure. tRNAs have two regions of fundamental functional importance: the anti-codon, which is responsible for specific mRNA codon recognition, and the 3' end, to which the tRNAs corresponding amino acid is attached (by aminoacyl-tRNA synthetases). tRNAs cope with the degeneracy of the genetic code in two manners: having more than one tRNA (with a specific anti-codon) for a particular amino acid; and 'wobble' base-pairing, i.e. permitting non-standard base-pairing at the 3rd anti-codon position. RNAcentral also lists the same sequence under 1 other name. Lineage: Eukaryota; Metazoa; Chordata; Mammalia; Artiodactyla; Camelidae. The record is from Rfam by way of RNAcentral.
GGCGAUAGCUCAGUGGUAGAGCGCGGGCUUAGCAUGCAGGAGGUCCUGGGUUCAAUCCCCAGUACUGCCA